RNAcentral lists this ribosomal RNA (252 nucleotides) under uncultured bacterium. Its description in RNAcentral is "partial 16S ribosomal RNA". It matches the Rfam family "Bacterial small subunit ribosomal RNA", at positions 524 to 776 of the family's 1533-position model. The record is from RNAcentral.
UACGUAGGCAGCGAGCGUUGUUCGGAGUUACUGGGCGUAAAGGGUGUGUAGGCGGUUCUUUAAGUUUGGUGUGAAAUCUCCCGCUUAACCGGGAGGGUGCGCCGAAUACUGAGGGACUAGAGUACGGGAGAGGAAAGUGGAAUUCCUGGUGUAGCGGUGAAAUGCGUAGAUAUCAGGAGGAAUACCGAUGGCGAAGGCAGGUCUCUGGGCUGACACUGACGCUCAUGCACGAAAGCGUGGGGAGCAAACAGG